ACACACUAAGAACAGGUAAAAUAUGGGUUACUCUCAUGAUAUUCACAUUACACAUAACAUAACAGCCCAGGCAAUCGUCUCAAGCUCCAACUAUCAAUUGGGGAAUUAAUAAUUCUCAUACAUCAGUUAUGCAUUCAAAUAAAGCAAGAACACAAAAAUAAGUGCAGUAUAUUGAACAUAAAUUUAUUUCAAAAAACUUAUCUCCCGUCGUUGGUUCUUCAAGUAACUGGGUGCUAUCGGUCCGUUCUCUCUGCCUUUUUGCAACCAAUUAUCGUUAGUUCUAAUGAGUUAAGAAGAUGACGACCUUUUGUGAUUCCGACUCUUGUUUGGGCCAUGAGAGAGUAGCUUCCGACAAGCCACCCUGACUUUAAUUCAUCAUCCUCCACCACGCCACCGUCGGGCUCAACUUACUCAACACGAUGGUGACAAGUCUCGUCCACACGAAAUUAACAUCAAAUAGCAGAGUGAUUAGUUACAAUGCCUCAAAAUUAUUUUUCGGUGGACAAUUCAAAACUUAAAUAUUUUACUUAUAUUAUGUAAGAUGCUCAACAUAUUCUCCUGCUAACGGAGUAUUUAAAAGCUCAUUUCAUUUAUGUCUUCUUUAUUACCUUUAUAUAUCAAACAACAUACAUUCAAAUUAAGCAAAUUAGCACUCCUUUCGGAGGUGGAAGGCUAUAUUUAAUUACUUAGGGAAACCUUUUGAGCAAUGUGAAAUAAAUUGCACUACCCAAUAACACAAAUUUUCUCAUUCUAUUCUCGCAACACCAUUGACUUAUUUUUAGAUAUAAUCAUUUUCACUGACUAGUUAAUAUGAGCGAUCUAUGAUUAGCAAAGAUUAAUGAUUUUAUGCGUAUGCGCAACAGAAAAUCUUACCCACUGUGUAGCGCCCCGCCCCGAGUAGCAGGCACCUCGUGGCGGAACACCACUCAACAUGCAGUACAUUCAAUGACCCCAAAUAUGCUCCUCAAAAUUUCGAUAAUCAAAACAUUAACCCGCAAUAUCUAUCCCAUCGUGUUUACAAAAGGAGGUUCUAUUACAAGUCGACUUCGACACCACUUACUCUAUUACAAAAUUCUCGAUCAAAGGAUUCCUAUACGGAACAUAAAUAGAGAUACCUCUCGACGAGACUAAUCGGAGGCAUACACGAGCUUUAACUCUUAGUAUGAAAAUUUAGGUCUAAGUCUUUCUUUUACCUGCGCAUUAAUAUCAUAAAGGAGAAACGAAUAAGUCCGAAUGACUUAGUGAAAAACAUAUGAUCCAUGAGUAUGAUGAGAAUCAACAGAACAGAACAUAUAACGAGAGACUUUACAAGAAUUUCAUUAACAGAAGUGUAACAUGUACAAGAGUGUAACAUGUACGGCUUGAGUUCAAUAUUUGGUGGGGUCUCCAACCUUGUAACUCCCAACAAAUAAAAUCAUAUCACGUCCUUAUCCCUCCACUCCGUCCCGAGUGACCACUCGGUCGGAAACAAGCAAGAGGCACGACCGGAACGUGCCGAUCCGGCUCAGGAACGUUUAACUCCAAACGAACGUGAGUCCGAACCAUCAGGAGGUACCAUUCGGGAGACCAGUCAUCGUCAGCCCAAUACUGCCCGAUCGUCUUGCCGAAAUGGUCCUAGGGCCCAGCUCCCCCAAGAGCGUCCUCAAGGGUGGGGACAGUAGGUUCAAGAAUCAAUAUUAUUCCUUUUAGGAAUAUCAAGUCAUUCAUUUCAAGAAUCAAGUCAAUCAUUCACAAGAUAAGUCGCGAUCACGAUAAUUGAAUAUCAAGUCUCAGGAUAAUGAACAUGUUCAGAUUUCAAUUCAAGCCAAUGAAGAAUUGUCGUGAAUAUGGAAUUCAAGAACAACAAUAAGUUCCAUGUCAGGUUCCAAGAACGAGUAUAUCAAGAUCUCAAUGAAUUCAAUAAACAUGAGAUUCAAGUUCGAGCCAACAAAAUAUUUAUUCUCGGAAAGCAUUCAAGACAAGAUUUUGAGAAUAAAUAUAGUUCAAUAUCGAUUCAAGGAAAAUGUUCAGGCCAGGGAAUCAAGUAUAGGAAUUAGCCGUGAACAUAGCAACCAAGAGAAUUGACAAGUUCAAGAUUUCAAGAACAAGAUCAAGGUUCCAAGUUCGAGCCAAGGAAACGAAUAUGCUCACAGAACAUUAAAGGUCAUAUUCCAAGAAAAAUAUAAUCAAUGCAUCAAAGGAUUCAAGAUGGAGAAUAUAUUUGGUUCAAACAAAGGAGAUAUUAAGCGCAGGAAAGAAAUCGGAUAAGGAGUCAUAGUUUCUCACCUGGAGUCCAACGUUAGUGCUAUAGAAGUGCUAUAGAAGCAUCUUUAAGCUUAAACCUUGAGUGAGAGCUUUACUACGCUCAACACCUAUGCAAAUAUUAGAACUAAAUAAGAUUCCGAACAGUAAUAUAGUCAUACUACCAUCCACUAUAUGACAUAGUCAAUUUCUUAAACAUAUACUAAGAAUUGAUUCUCGUGGCACUCUAUUCAAAUAAUCACUGGGAUCGUCGUACUUAUCCGAAUGACCUAAAUGAUAUAUAUCGUUAAAGAUAACAUAUGUAUCUACAAGUUUACUGAAGACUUUAAUCCCAAAUUAACAACAUAACCCGUCAAUAACAAUCCCGAAAGAUGAAUACAUAAACCUGCCAGAUUUUCGCAUAAUUUCGUUUGCUGUCACAGUUUCGUUGGAAAAUCAUAACAAAUCGUACAGUUAUCCAAAUUGUCCAAAUAAUACAUCAAAUGAAACCUGGAAUUUUAAUCUACAAGUUUCAUGAAGACACACAGCCUAAAUUCUGACCCGAACAUAUCGAAAACAGUCCCGCAAGAAGGUACUCAAAACUGCCCUGUUUCCGGCAGAUUACUGUCAUCGGAUUCGGACCUCUAAAACAUGCAUAUUACAUACUCUAAUUCGAUACAAUUGAACACUUACUUAUAGUUUACGAUGUCCUCUACGAGUUUCCUGAAGGAACCGAUUCGAAAUUCGGAUUCGAAACCCUUCGAUUUCGGCUCCGAAAACAGGUGCGGCAGCAGAAUUUGCUUCCCUUCGUUUCAACGAGCGAGCUGAAGUUCUAGCCAAUUCCGAUGACCACCGCUGAUGUAAACAAUCAAGAACCACCACCACUGGAAAUCUAACUUAUUAAGGUUUCGAACGGUACCUUCGGAUCAUCGAUGCUCCAACUUUAAGACCUCCGUUUAAUUGAUUUACGGAAAAGGCAAAACUCUGAAAUUGAAAUUCUGGACAGCUCGUCUUCUUUGUCGGAUUCCAGCCACCACCGCCGGCGACUGCUGCUGGAGACCACCACCACUAUAAAUCCGACUUUUUUUUCUUCAAUUAACUUCCAUGAUUUCAGCCAAGGAUCGAGAGAGAGAGGAAGAGAGAGAUGAUGAGAGAGAGCGAGAGAGAGAAAGGAGUUUGGAGAAGAGGAGUGAAGUGUAGGAAGAAUCGGAUGAAGAUGAAGAGGAAGUCUGACUCAUCUUUUAUUCUACGUGUCUCUCUCUCUAAUUUUCUUGGUUAAUAACAUUCAAUUAUCCGAUUACACAAGCCCCUCAAUUGCUUAAUGGCCAAGUUACUAAAUUAUAGAAUUAUUAUUAUGCUUAUGCCCCAAAAUUAUUACAUAAUAACACAUCAGCCCCCAAUUCCCAUUAUAAAGUACAAUAAACUCUCACAUAAUUUACUCGGUGUUACAAUCUCCCCUCCUUAAAGGAAUCUGGUCCCCAGAUUCUCAACUAUUAUUCGAACAUGGAAAUACAAUUUCCUAAAAUUAUCUUCUUGCUCAUCCAUCGCUUCGUUAGCUUCGUGGUUUCUCCAUAAUACCUUCAAGUCUUGUGAUUGAGGAAUUCGUUAUCAAGAGGAAUACGGUUAUGCGGGUAGUCUAUAGGAGGUUGGUUCCGAAAUAGGGAUCAAUCCCUAUUUAUAUGAUAAGUUAUUCUCAAGCUACGGUUGCUUCAAGGAAGAAUAUCUGAGUUUGAUCGAAAUAGUGUUAACUUAGUCCUUCAAACCUCUACGAAUUAUUUCCAUGACAAUCUGUAUCUCCCCAAACUUAGAAUUGACUUGGAUAACGAGUCAAACUAUUAUCGUAAUGAAUUCAAAAAUACUACUUCAACUUAAAUCUGAGGUAGUACUAGGAAGUACUGCUUGUGGAACCUUAAUAUCAACGGCUUUAUUAGAAAUAUUAUCCAAUUCAUCGGUCUCAUACUCGAUGUAGCCUUACCGUUGAGCAAGAUGCUGAAUAUUUAUAGCGUUCUAGAAGUUGAAGGCCGAGAUACGGUUCGUCAACCAAUUAAUGGGACUUGUGACGUACGUCAACUAUGAGGAAAUAAUCGAGUUAGGGUUGUAGCUAGGAGUCCUACAAAUGGUCUGAUGAGAGGAAUGAAAGGGAUUAAUAAGGGUCUCAUAUCGUUCGAAUCUUUAAAUCUCUCCCUAGUUAUCCGUGUCACAUUCUUCAAGAGAACGUGUUUCUUCUCCUCCGUUUCGGUCGAAUCUUUGUGGUAAUUAGAAUUAUUUAUCUAGCUCCACAUAUGUAUAACUCUUUUGACAAUCUUGUGCAGGCUUUGAUCUUAAUUUGAUAAGCCCAACUUUACCGCUAGCAUCUGGUAUCAAUCUCCAAGCCCUAACCUUUGCCGUCGUUAGUUGUUCGUCGUUCAUCUGUCUUGAAACGCAAGCUCGAUUGAUACUUCAUUCCACGAACUACUGCGAAGCUGUUUGUAUUGCCGCUCGCUUGAUAGCUGUCCCAAGUCAUCACGAUAAUUCACGUUGUACGUCCUCAAUGUGUUCAGUCACCCGCUCAAACGAUAAGUUAAUUUCCGAACGUUUCUCGUUCUGAGCUGAAAUUUUGUCCCAUAUUGCGGAUAGCUGCUUUCAUAACAACGAGAUGUCUUAUAAUCUAUAUAGAAAUAAUGUGAGUUAGCUAAAAGAGAUAGAUUUCGGAUCUAAAUUAUCUUCAGCAGACAAAGAGGCAACUACUUUCCCGGUCCACAAAAAUUCUCUAUUCAUUGGUCUACAUAAAGUGGAAUUGAAUGCACCACAAUUGCAAUCAAAGAGGACGGCGAAGCCUGAUUUACUUAUGGUAUCGACAUUGGACACUAGAAGAGCUUGAUUAUAGAUGGCAUUCGCAAGGAAAAGGUUUUCGAACAGUAGAUCGACCAGGCAACGGUUGAUGGAAGAGAGCUUUAGCUUCUAAAAUCAAGAGUAAUCGAAAAUGGCAACGGUUGAUACAAUCUUCCCAUGGUUUCACAACCGCAUACCUAAUAAAUACUUAUCGUAGAGAAGUCAGGACUCAGAAUAUCCGACAAUUGAGUAGCCUUAAUUCAUUGAAUUCACUACUAUUUCAACAUAGGUGAACUAGUCCAAUGCCAUUCUUCGACACUAAGCACGCUCUAAUCACGUACGAAACAUUAUACGCACUAUAUCUAUUAAUGCCGAUAGUGAAUUACUUCAACCAAACUACAUGACGGGCAAAGCUUAUUUAUAGCAAGUUGAUCAUCAAGGACAAAUUCUUGUAGUUCUUCGUCCACAUCUUACAAAGAGAAGUGCAAUCCUCUACGGUGUUAUUGACAUAGGUGUUGUACUCUAAACACCUUCUCUACAUAGCACUUAGCUCUUGAUAUUAACUUAUCAACCAAAUAGAAUUGCAAAAAACUGAUAAUCCAAUGUCAAGAUAUAGCUGACUUAUCGGAUACUAGGGACUCUAGAGGUGGCUCAUGCAAGAUUAAGAGGUGGCUCCCGUUGGGUAGCACUUUGCCCUGCAUAGCACUUAGCUCCUUAUACCCUGACGGUUAGAAUCAAGAAUUCAAACCGCUCAAGAUACCUUAAGAGUCAACAAACUCUAUAGAAUUUCUAAGUCGUGAUAACUACAUAACCUUUUUCCGUUGAGUAAGAUCCAUAAGAUGAUAUAAAAAUAGAUGCAUACAACCGUAGUCAUAUUACACGACAUUGCCCAAACAUACUUUUACUCUGAAUUAACAAUAAUCAUGACCUAUGAGUGAGAGGGAACAACAAGAAGCGAUAUGAAGAAGUCGAAUCACAAGGUUUCAAAGGGAUAAGAAACCUCACAGAAUAGGCUAUCCAAAGCUAUCCAAAUCAAGAAGUAUUAAAUGAGAUGAGGAAUCUCAAAAAGAACGUAACAAGAAUAAGGAAGCAUUCAAACAAGAUCAAACACCUCACUCAUGAUCAAUAAUGGGAAGGAAGUAAGAUAGUCAAGCAAUAUUGUAUACAAAGAAUCAGAUACCUGAAAAAGUAGGUAACCGAGAUGCCGAAGUAUUGAAAUAAGAUAAGGAGUUUUGAAAUGAGAUAUGGGAUUUCCAUUGUGAUCAAUAAUAACAAUGGAACAAUGCAUGUACAAGAAUCGAAUUUUGAGGCCAAAAGAACAAGAACCUCAAAAAUAGGUAGAAAGAUUGAUCCGACAUGAGAAUAAUAACAAUGGUAUAGCCAAAUCAAACGAGAAUAGGGACCUCAAAGGUAUGUGACCAAAAUCACGAGCUAUUCAAGAAAAUUGGAACACUGAAAAUGUAGUAUAGAUUAAGUAAAGCAAUAUCCAAGAAAGAAAAAGUCUCGACAAAUAGAUUCGCCGAAACUAUAGAGUGUUCAAAGAGAUACAAAACCUCACAAUCAGGUAGAUGAUCAAAGCAGAUGGUAAUAGAAUAAAGUAAGAAGCCUCACAAGAACAUGACCAAAGUCAUGACGUAUUCAAAAUAAUUGGAUCACUAAGGAUGGAGUGAACUGGAUGAGAAGUCUCGGCAAAUAGAUAAGCCGAAACCAUAACUAUUUACAAAGGAUAGAAUAAUUGGAUCACUAAGGAUGGAGUGAACUGGAUGAGAAGUCUCGGCAAAUAGAUAAGCCGAAACCAUAACUGUUUACAAAGGAUAGAAGGUGGAGAUGGUAGCACAAUAAGGUAAGGGCUUCAAAACAAGAGAUAAUCCAAACCAUGCGGAAUUUGAAGGGGUACGAAACCUCACAACAUUGGUAACCAAGACUAUGAGGUAUUAAAAUGAGAUAAGAAAAUCGAUUACGACCAACAAAUGAAAUUAGACAAUACUGGCCAACGAAUCAAAAUUGAAUUCAUUGGAAUGAUAAGGAGUGAACAAAAGGACUCCCGAAUAUUUGGUUCACCGUAAAUCAAUACUCAAAACGAGAUAAUAUGGUUUCGAUAAGGAAGUCAAGUUAUGAAGUAAAAUGGAAUGGGACGUCUACAAGAAAAGGUGUUACCAAAUUCAAGUGAAACUAGGAAACUCACUCGAGAUAAACAACAUCGGAGAAUUGGAAGCCAACUGAAGUAACAAAAAGAACCAAGAAUCUCAUACUGCAUCUCAGGUCGCGUAUGAUAGAUAUUUCUACGGGGUAUGCCUCACUAUCUAUAUCAGUAAUAGAUGCUAAAGAAUUAUCUCAAUGCCUCUAUGACUCGAUUACUGCCGAUCACAAUUUAGCCCAAGAUUCAAUUCAUAGCUCUACAAUUCUCAAAGAUCCCUUUUCAUCAUCGCUCGGGCAUCCAACCCAAAGCCAACCCAAAGCUCUGAUACCACCUGUAGCGCCCCGCCCCGAGUAGCAGGCACCUCGUGGCGGAACACCACUCAACAUGCAGUACAUUCAAUGACCCCAAAUAUGCUCCUCAAAAUUUCGAUAAUCAAAACAUUAACCCGCAAUAUCUAUCCCAUCGUGUUUACAAAAGGAGGUUCUAUUACAAGUCGACUUCGACACCACUUACUCUAUUACAAAAUUCUCGAUCAAAGGAUUCCUAU
Molecule: long non-coding RNA, 7718 nt
Filed under: Erythranthe guttata (spotted monkey flower)
Lineage: Eukaryota; Viridiplantae; Streptophyta; Magnoliopsida; Lamiales; Phrymaceae
Description: long non-coding RNA (EGUT_LNC000488)
Source: RNAcentral